AGCAGCCGCGGUAAUUCCAGCUCCAAUAGCGUAUAUUAAAGUUGUUGCAGUUAAAAAGCUCGUAGUUGAAUUUCGGGGUUAGUAGGUUGGUCAUGCCUCUGGUAUGUACUGGUCUCACUGAUUCCUCCUUCCUGAUGAACCUUAAUGCCAUUAAUUUGGUGUUUUGGGGAAUUUGGACCGUUACUUUGAAAAAAUUAGAGUGUUUAAAGCAAGCUAACGCUUGAAUACAUUAGCAUGGAAUAAUGAAAUAGGACGUUCGAUCCUAUUUUGUUGGUUUCUAGGAUUGACGUAAUGAUUAAUAGGGAUAGUUGGGGGCAUUAGUAUUCAAUUGUCAGAGGUGAAAUUCUUGGAUUUAUUGAAGACUAACUACUGCGAAAGCAUUUGCCAAGGAUGUUUUCAUUAAUCAAGAACGAAAGUUAGGGGAUCGAAGACGAUCAGAUACCGUCGUAGUCUUAACCAUAAACUAUGCCGACUAGGGAUCGGAUGAUGUUAAUUUUUAAUGACUCAUU
RNAcentral lists this ribosomal RNA (509 nucleotides) under uncultured Glomus. RNAcentral's name for it is "SSU rRNA". It matches the Rfam family "Eukaryotic small subunit ribosomal RNA", at positions 569 to 1080 of the family's 1831-position model. Lineage: Eukaryota; Fungi; Glomeromycota; Glomeromycetes; Glomerales; Glomeraceae. The record is from RNAcentral.